This 340-nucleotide ribosomal RNA is filed under the name uncultured bacterium. RNAcentral describes it as "bacterial SSU rRNA". It matches the Rfam family "Bacterial small subunit ribosomal RNA", at positions 8 to 353 of the family's 1533-position model. The record is from RNAcentral.
AGAGUUGAUCAUGGCUCAGGAUGAACGCUGGCGGCGUGCCUAAUACAUGCAAGUCGAACGCUUCACUUCGGUGAAGAGUGGCGAACGGGUGAGUAAUACAUAAGUAACCUGGCAUCUACAGGGGGAUAACUGAUGGAAACGUCAGCUAAGACCGCAUAGGUGUAGAGAUCGCAUGAACUCUAUAUGAAAAGUGCUACGGGACUGGUAGAUGAUGGACUUAUGGCGCAUUAGCUUGUUGGUAGGGUAACGGCCUACCAAGGCGACGAUGCGUAGCCGACCUGAGAGGGUGACCGGCCACACUGGGGCUGAGACACGGCCCAGACUCCUACGGGAGGCAGCA